Molecule: ribosomal RNA, 404 nt
Filed under: uncultured bacterium
Lineage: Bacteria
Description: bacterial SSU rRNA
Rfam family: Bacterial small subunit ribosomal RNA
Source: RNAcentral
AUAAGGAGGGGAUAACAUCCCGGAAACGGGUGCUAAUACCGCAUAGUUUUUCUUGAUCGCAUGAUACGGGAAAGAAAGACGGCCUUUGUGCUGUCGCUUAUGGAUGGACCCGCGGCGUAUUAGUUAGUUGGUGAGGUAACGGCUCACCAAGACGAUGAUACGUAGCCGACCUGAGAGGUGAUCGGCCACAUUGGGACUGAGACACGGCCCAAACUCCUACGGGAGGCAGCAGUAGGAAUCUUCCGCAAUGGACGAAAGUCUGACGGAGCAACGCCGCGUGAGUGAGAAAAGGUUUUUCGGAUCGUAAAACUCUGUUGUCAGAGAAGAACAAGUUGGAGAGUAACUGCUCCAGCCUUGACGGUAUCUGACCAGAAAGCCACGGCUAACUACGUGCCAGCAGCCGC